Molecule: ribosomal RNA, 916 nt
Filed under: uncultured bacterium
Lineage: Bacteria
Description: bacterial SSU rRNA
Rfam family: Bacterial small subunit ribosomal RNA
Source: RNAcentral
AGUUUGAUCCUGGCUCAGGAUGAACGCUAGCUACAGGCUUAACACAUGCAAGUCGAGGGGAAACGAUAGAGAAAGCUUGCUUUUUCUAGGCGUCGACCGGCGCACGGGUGAGUAACGCGUAUCCAACCUGCCCAUCACUUGGGGAUAACCUUGCGAAAGUAAGACUAAUACCCAAUGACGUCCAUAGAAGACAUCUGAAAUGGAUUAAAGAUUUAUCGGUGAUGGAUGGGGAUGCGUCUGAUUAGCUUGUUGGCGGGGUAACGGCCCACCAAGGCGACGAUCAGUAGGGGUUCUGAGAGGAAGGUCCCCCACAUUGGAACUGAGACACGGUCCAAACUCCUACGGGAGGCAGCAGUGAGGAAUAUUGGUCAAUGGGCGAGAGCCUGAACCAGCCAAGUAGCGUGCAGGAUGACGGCCCUAUGGGUUGUAAACUGCUUUUAUAAGGGAAUAAAGUGAGAGUCGUGACUCUUUUUGCAUGUACCUUAUGAAUAAGGACCGGCUAAUUCCGUGCCAGCAGCCGCGGUAAUACGGAAGGUCCGGGCGUUAUCCGGAUUUAUUGGGUUUAAAGGGAGCGUAGGCCGGAGAUUAAGCGUGUUGUGAAAUGUAGACGCUCAACGUCUGCACUGCAGCGCGAACUGGUUUCCUUGAGUACGCACAAAGUGGGCGGAAUUCGUGGUGUAGCGGUGAAAUGCUUAGAUAUCACGAAGAACUCCGAUUGCGAAGGCAGCUCACUGGAGCGCAACUGACGCUGAAGCUCGAAAGUGCGGGUAUCGAACAGGAUUAGAUACCCUGGUAGUCCGCACGGUAAACGAUGGAUGCCCGCUGUUGGUCUGAAUAGGUCAACGGCCAAGCGAAAGCAUUAAGCAUCCCACCUGGGGAGUACGCCGGCAACGGUGAAACUCAAAGGAAUUGACGG